CAUCUACUGGGCAGGGGUGCAAAAUAUCUGGAGUGCCAAAUGUUUUUGCCGUUGCUUUGCUCCCCCCAUUUCCCAGUUCAAUGCAUCCUUCCAACUGAGGAGCUGCGCCUUUGCCCAGGCAGACAGUGCCACAGAUUAUAACUCAUCUAAUGAGGGAAUGCUUCCACUUCAUAGAAUGACACAAAACUGGUGGGCCUGGAAUGUCAAGAUUCCAGUUUUGGACAACACUUAGGAAGAUAAAUAAGGAUACUAAUUAUCCUAAUUUAUUCCACAAUUAUUUUAAUUAUUAAUUGCUUCCUUCUUUCUUGCCUAUUACCAGGUCUUAGAGGUGGGAGUGUUCCCAAGUCCUGAAGGCAGGCUCUGCCCCCAGCAUGCUCCUGUGACUCACCAGGUUCAUCUUUAUCUCUUCCCACACCUUUCAUAACAAGACUUCCUUGAAGCUGUGGCAGUGCUUCUGGGGAUACAGGCAGUGUACAGCAGAGGCAGAGCAGCCUCCCUUUCCUAGGAGCAGGACAAAGAACUUACCAAGAGGCUCUUUGUUGUGACACAAAGACUCAGAACAUUACACAGUGUUGGGUUUUGGCUCCCUAAAUAGGCACAGAGAAACUGCAGUGAGCUAGAAAGCUGAAUUUUCUUAGCUCUCUGAGGCUGAGAGAGCUUUAGCUUCAUGUAUUCUGCUGUCAUUAUCUCACUGUAUCCUCUAACCUGACAGCGAAAAGCUUGCAAGUCUCUUAUCUGUUUCUUAUGAGGGAAAUGCAAGGAGAGAAGGAAAUACAGAACAAUCCUUCUGCUU
Molecule: long non-coding RNA, 793 nt
Organism: Pezoporus flaviventris
Lineage: Eukaryota; Metazoa; Chordata; Aves; Psittaciformes; Psittacidae
Exons: 3
Source: RefSeq, a predicted model, not a curated record